RNAcentral lists this ribosomal RNA (245 nucleotides) under uncultured bacterium. RNAcentral's name for it is "partial 16S ribosomal RNA". It matches the Rfam family "Bacterial small subunit ribosomal RNA", at positions 524 to 768 of the family's 1533-position model. The record is from RNAcentral.
UACGAAGGGUGCAAGCGUUGCUCGGAAUUAUUGGGCGUAAAGGGUAGGUAGGUGGUUACGUAUGUCUGGGGUGAAAUCCCUGAGCUCAACUCAGGACGUGCCUUGGAAACGGCGUAACUAGAGUGCUGGAGAGGUUUGCAGAAUUCCCGGUGUAGCGGUGAAAUGCGUAGAGAUCGGGAGGAAUAUCAGAGGCGAAGGCGGCAAACUGGACAGUUACUGACACUCAACUACGAAAGCGUGGGGAG